UCGAGAAUCUUUCACAAUGGGGGCAACCCUGAUGGAGCGACGCCGCGUGGAGGAUAAGGUCUUCGGAUUGUAAACUCCUGUCAUGCGAGAGCAAGGCAUAGCAAUAUGUUUGAUAGUAUCGCAAGAGGAAGAGACGGCUAACUCUGUGCCAGCAGCCGCGGUAAUACAGAGGUCUCAAGCGUUGUUCGGAAUCACUGGGCGUAAAGGGUGCGUAGGCGGCGGAGUAAGUCGGGUGUGAAAUUUGAGGGCUCAACCCUCAACUUGCACCUGAUACUGCUUUGCUCGAGGCCUGAAGAGGAGCUUGGAAUUCUCGGUGUAGCAGUGAAAUGCGUAGAUUUCGAGAAGAACGCUCGCAGCGAAAGCGAAGCUCUGGUCAGGUUCUGACGCUGAGGCACGAAGGCUAGGGGAGCAAACGGGAUUAGAUACCCCCGUAGUCC
This 437-nucleotide ribosomal RNA is filed under the name uncultured bacterium. RNAcentral's name for it is "bacterial SSU rRNA". It matches the Rfam family "Bacterial small subunit ribosomal RNA", at positions 355 to 796 of the family's 1533-position model. The record is from RNAcentral.